RNAcentral lists this ribosomal RNA (433 nucleotides) under uncultured bacterium. RNAcentral describes it as "partial 16S ribosomal RNA". It matches the Rfam family "Bacterial small subunit ribosomal RNA", at positions 29 to 507 of the family's 1533-position model. The record is from RNAcentral.
AACGAACGCUGGCGGCAUGCCUAACACAUGCAAGUCGUACGAGACCUUCGGGUCUAGUGGCGCACGGGUGCGUAACGCGUGGGAACCUGCCCUUAGGUUCGGAAUAACUCCCCGAAAGGGGUGCUAAUACCGGAUAAUGUCUUCGGACCAAAGAUUUAUCGCCUUUGGAUGGGCCCGCGUUGGAUUAGCUAGUUGGUAGGGUAAAAGCCUACCAAGGCGACGAUCCAUAGCUGGUCUGAGAGGAUGAUCAGCCACACUGGGACUGAGACACGUCCCAGACUCCUACGGGAGGCAGCAGUGGGGAAUAUUGGACAAUGGGCGAAAGCCUGAUCCAGCAAUGCCGCGUGAGUGAUGAAGGCCUUAGGGUUGUAAAGCUCUUUUACCCGGGAUGAUAAUGACAGUACCGGGAGAAUAAGCUCCGGCUAACUCCGUG